GCCCCCCGCUGGCGGGGCACGGCCCUGCCCCGCCGCACCCCAAUAACGGCGGCGGCGUCAAUGUCGCGCCCUGUCGCGAUAGUGGGGCGGGGAGGAGCGGCUGCGAUUCCGCCCGAGGAUAGGAGCGGGCAGAAUGUUAGUGCUUUUUCUUUAGUACCUUGGCGGGGCUCGGAAAGCUCGGAGGCCAGCGUUUUCCUGCUGGACUUUCAGGAUUUCUGUGAUUGCAUCAGGCUGCUCUGUGGGUCUAUGGGAAUAGCUACAUUCCUCUUGUAAGAUUGGAUGUCACUAGAUUGGAAGAUGCUGCCUUCAGUCUUUGUGGCAACAAGAGUUUUCCAUAGCUCUGGCAAUGGCUGGUGAAUCCUUGGUGUGGUUGAAAGCAGCGUACAGAAAAACCCCUUUUUGCAUCCUUUCCCUGGACUCCGGCAGGUGAUCUGGUGACAAAGCCCUAGCUACAUCUGAGAGGACUUUUUUUUUUUUCUCCCAAGAAUUCAUUUAUCUGAGACUUAUUUCUUCUGGUGACAAUUGCAAAAGUUUAAUGAAAAAAUAAUCACUAUUUCCACUUCAAUUAUCGUUGGGUUUAUUUCUUCUGCAUUGUAGCAAUUUUGCAUUUUAAGCCCUUGAUUCAAUAGAAUAAAAUACUGUCUUUGAAAAUAAGAAAGCUGAGUGAUCAAACUAUGGUCAAAUCAUGAUAGGAUGCUUCAAAUGUAACUUUACUAUAUUAAAUGUGCCUUUUGUUUUUUUGGUUUUAUUUUGGGUAUGUUUGUUUUUUUGUUGUGAUUUUUUUUUCGGUUAGCUUUUUUGGAAACCAGCAGAUACCUGGCAACUAUCUCCCACUAAAUGUAAUUUGAGUAAUUUAUUAUAUUUUGUAUAGUAUGUUCAGACUUCCAUUUAGAAACUAUUUAGGUUAGUUUCAACAUUGGUUUUACUUUCUAAGUUAAUGUUACCACAUCAGCCUAGAACCUUACCAGAACAUGAAAAAUCUCAGGUAAUAAACCUCUAUUGUUUUCUACUUAGUUAUGAAAGGAUGGGAAUGAUGGAAUAAUUUGUUACAGGUGUAAAAAUUUCUGUUAUUCACAUGUUACUCAAGAUAUGUGUUGAUUUUGUGACUUCUGGAGAUUUUUGGUUUUUUUCCCCUACUAUUAGACCAAAAUAUUUUUAGCGUGUGCCGAGCCCUAGAUAAGUUUCUGUGUGCAUUGGCAGGUAUCAGUAGUUUCACAUUCUAAAAGCAGUCUUCCUAAAUUGUUAAAAUUAUAAAAAAAGUUGCUUUUUGUAUAUUUUAUAGAUGUUCCACUUUGGAAUAGGUUUUACAUUUUCAGCAUUCCAUAUAUGCUAUGACAGCACAGCUCUGAUAUUGUAAACAUUUUUGGUCAUCCAGUUUUUAUUGAAAAUUUGUAGGUAUUAACAUAUUAAUGUGAUGAGUGUUUUUGUACAAACCAUAUCUUUCAUAAAGCAAAAGGUGAACUUUAGACUUGAGUAGCUGCACCGUGAUCUCUGGGGCUUAGUGUGGGCCCAGACCUAUGCCCAUGGCUGCAGGGCAGAAUCCAGAAUCCAGCCCUGAGCCUCCCUCUUCCAAGCCACCCCUGCAACAAAACCUUGUCAUUGAUAUGACGCCAAAUCCAGCUUAAGCUGAAAAAGAUACAGCUCUAGUCGAGCAAAUGGUGUUCUGUGCCUGUGUGCCCACUCUGACUGUAUUUGCAAAUCUGAUUUGCAGGCUGUGGCAGUGGGUAAUUUGGAGAACUGCAAACAUACAACCACAACUGAAAAGUUCAUCGCCUGCUUGGCAGUUCUACUCUGCCAUGCAGGCAUUGGGGUUUUAUUUCUGACUUUUAUUCUGCAGUGCUGUUACAGAGACCCAGCAUCAGCAGCUGUGACAGAGACAUCUGGGACUGUUCCUGUGCCAGUGUCAAAGCCGAGUUGUCAUGUAUGUUCUGGAUCUUUAGCACGCCUGCCAGGCUCUAAGGCACCCUCAUGCCAUAGAAGUUUUAAAGCACAUAUGACUUGUGCUAUGUCUUAUGUAAAACUUGUGUUGGAAUUCUAAACUGGAAACACUGAGCCCAAAUCUUUACCAUCAGUUCUGCCAGUCUUAAGAGCCCAGCAGUGUCACCGAGCGGAGGUGAAGUAUGAGGAAGCAGGGAGUGUUACAAGGAAAGAGCCAAAGGAAAUCAUCAGGUGUAAUGAGCCUGAUCCUUCAUUUAUGGUGAUGUUUUAUAUUCUGUGCAGGGCAAGGAGUUGCUCUGUAACCAUCACUUUCACUGCUGGGAAGAAACGAUGUUCAAAGAGGUAAGAGGUUUCACAUUGCAAACAACAACGCUCUUCUGUUGGCAUGGUCACACUGAGAAUUUGUUUCCUUUGUGUGCUGGGUGAGUAAAUACCUUCCUGUGGUACCUGUGAGAGGAUCAGUCCCUUCCCUCUGUGCAGGAGCAGGAUAUUAAGCACCAGCCACUGUGCCUUGCCUGAGGUGCUGGCAGGUGGACCCAGGCCAUCAAGGUGUGACCACCUCUGGCUGGUGUCACAAGUUGGUUUUGACUGACAGUCACAAACCCAAAGCUGGUUAUCACUAGUGACUAUACUUAGGAAGAAAAUAAAAGAUGUUUCCCACCAAAGUUUUAUUAAUUUAUCAAAAAUGUAUGUAUUCUUAGUAGCAGAUGGUCAAUAAUAGAUGAUAGAUGGCCUCCUCUGUGUAAAUUAAUGGCUGUAAUUCACUUGAGGGGAUCUGCUGAUGUCAUAAGCUGCCAGAGUGCAGCUUGAGUGAUUUAUUAACAGCUGCAGAAAUCCUAGGCUGAAUGACAUCCUUGUAUUCACUUAGGGUCUGCAGAUUUUUAUUUAUAAAAUGUGUAGGUUUGAAUUUCUUGAUGAUUACAGGGAUCUCUUCUGUGACUUUAGUACAGGGGCACAGUGAAGAAAUGCUGAAUAUAAAAGCUCAGAUAUCUGCCAGUGAUUAAAGGCAGAUUUUCUCCACUGUUGCAUAUCAACACCAUCCCUUUUCUUUAUUUUUUAAAUCAGCUAAUCAAUAUCUGUAGAGGUUUACAAAAGUCCUGUUUGGGUUUUGUUUCCCCCCCACCAUCAAAUAUAAAUGAUGUCCUUAUCUUCAGGUACAGGAACCUCUCUCAGUCUAUGUUGUAGUCACAGCCUCUGCACACUUUGGGCUGUGUCCAGCACAAAAAGCUGGGAGAGGGUUGAGGGCUAAAUGGAGUUCAGCUGUAAGUGUGAUCUCUAAUAAUAACUGGAUUCUACUGUUUAGAAAGAAGGCAACAGACACAGAAGGCUAGAAAAGGUGCCUGGAAACAAAAAGUCUUUGUGUACAGGGAGGAGACUCUCCCUGUUCAGGGAGAAAAACUUCCUUUCUUCCAUAAAAUUCUUGAAUGGUGAAAAUAAAAAUUCUCUGAAUAUGGAUCUCAGAUUUAUUGCACCCUGCUAGCAUAUGAACAAAUGCAAGCAAAUGAAACAAUAUUAAUUUCAAUUCCUUUUUCCUCCUCCCCAAAAAAUUUGAGCUGAUUAGGAUGAUAUUGAAUCCUGUUUCUCAAACAAGGGAUGCAUUUCCAAAAUGUAAUUUGAGUUGUAGAGGAAGGGGAAAAGGGAGAUGAGAAUAAAUUAUGAAGGAUUGCAUGGCAGGAAGGAACAGUCAGAAUUCAUUUGCAAAUAACUAUGCAUAUUACAUUUGCUAAAGAUGCAGAAUUUCUUAAGAGAACUCAAAACAAAUGUUUGGAUGCCAGUUUGAGCCCAGUGAAAAUCCUUCUAGUUUUCUGUCUUUUCUCUUCUCUGAAUUAGUUUUGUUUGUUGAUAGAUUCCCCCAGUCCUUGGAAGAGCGCUGCAGUUACUGUUCUCAGCAAGGAAUGCUGAUUUGUUAUGGACCAAACACUGCUUUGCUCCUGCUUUCCUUCACCAAUGUCCAUCUGACCUGUCUCUGUGUAAGAGUGUCAUGGACAAAGCCCGAUCACAUCAGAGACCCACAAUGUUAGAUAUUAUACAGAUGCACAGAAAGCCUUUUCCUCCCUGCAAAGACAGGCAAAUCAGUGCAAGACUACAGAGGCCCAAGGAGUUAUGAUACAGAGUGUUAUUCUCCAUUCCUGAUUAUUCUGCAAGUUCUGAGACAAUUUGUUCCACAAACAACAGCAAGAUGCCUGAUGCUCUCAGUUCCCCAAGUCCUCUAAAAUGGAGACAAAGCAGAGGUAGUUGUUACAGCUGACCUAAUCCUGAGUGGCCACCAGAAGAAACAGUAGACUGCUUAUUAUCUCUCAUGAUUGCUGAAUCCAGAGAGAUGGUAUUUGCAGCUCUCUUACUGAACAGUCUCCAACCAUGUGAACAGCAGUGGGAAUCUGUGUGUCAAGUGAUGGAACAAAACCAUGGAUUUCAACUUGCAAAGCUCUCUCUGCGACUGAAGUAUGGAAAAAAAAAAAUUGGUUACUGCCAUGGAUGUACAUGGAGGAGGCUUGAUGCCUGUAUUCUAAGGCAAGUGAGAAAUUACCAACACAUCUGGACUGGGCUUUGCCUUGGCAACAAGGUGGGGAAGAAAAGAGUUAAACGGCAGGAUCACCUGAUCCGCUUUUCACCUCCCGAGGCUGUUCCUUAGAAUGAGAAAUACUUUCCUGUCCGCUUUUGAAAGAAACAACUUCAAAACCUUUGUGGCCGGGAUGGCAUCAUCUCUGCACAGCCUGGGUUCAGCUGGACCGAGGUGCAGCCACCGUCAGCAAGACAAAAGCAGAGAUAUUGUAAACGGGAACGAACCCAAAGAAUUAAGGGGACCGAGCAGCAUCUGAUGAGAGCUGAAAGCAAAACCCGGCUGGUGUUUCCGAGCACUGUAUGGUCACCUUCGCUGCAAGUGACCGAUUUCAUCGCAGGAUGCCAGGAGGUGAGGACAGGACCAGAAGGUCCGGUAUCAGUCACAGCACAGCUCCUGGCCAAUUACAGGAGGGGAAGCGACAUAAAUGGAGAUUUUCCUUCCCCCUCCGGCAGAAUUUUGCAGAGAUUGGAAGUGGAGGGAAGGAGUUAAUCUCUGUGCAGUCAGACUGUGCCUCCUCCCCGCAAUUUUCUCCUCAACUCCUCUGUUGUUGCUGCACUGUAGUGCUCGGGCUGAGCUGCCGAUGGAGCAGCUCCCUGAUUGCACUGCCCAGUCACGAACACCACCUGCUCCAAAACUCAGGCGAAUUAUUUUUUAAAU
Long non-coding RNA from Catharus ustulatus (Swainson's thrush), 5158 nucleotides. RefSeq lists it as uncharacterized. The record is from RefSeq and is a predicted model, not a curated record. The transcript has 8 exons. Lineage: Eukaryota; Metazoa; Chordata; Aves; Passeriformes; Turdidae.